Long non-coding RNA from Epinephelus fuscoguttatus (brown-marbled grouper), 2521 nucleotides. RefSeq lists it as uncharacterized. The record is from RefSeq and is a predicted model, not a curated record. NCBI's taxonomy places the organism in Eukaryota, Metazoa, Chordata, Actinopteri, Perciformes, Serranidae. The transcript is spliced from 4 exons.
GGAGGACCAUCAGAAAUACCACUGAAGAAGGAGGGAAGUGGGAGAAAAGGAGGAAGAGAGUGAAGGACUCGGAGAAAGAAAUGCCGCCCGUCGUGGCGUGACUGAAGAAAAAACAAGGACAGCAGGCGGGGACAUCACAGGUGAAGCUUACAGAAACAGACAGGAGGUCUGUGCUGCCCAGAUGUGUGGUUACAUUUCUGGGGAGGUGCACGUCAGGCUACGGCGUAGGCUGUAAGUCGAUGCAGAGCCUACACUUUAGGUACGGAGUCGAUUUGACGCAGAAGUAUAAAUCCCGCUCUACACUUGAAUAAAAAUCCAGUAAAAGAAGAAAUUUUAGGACACUCUCAAAAAAAUACAACAGUGACCAGCAGACAUGUUACCAGACAUUCUCCAGCACCACUGACCAUGUUCAGAUUUUCUUCAUCCCUUCAUGAACCUCAGAGUGACGUCAUAAACUGCACAUCCACGGUGCUCUCAGUCUGUGGUUUGUGUGUGUUUUUAGGACUUCCUGCUGCCCAGUUGAGCCCUCUGAUUUCUAGAGACUCUAUUUUUAGACUUGGUGACCUUUGACCCCCUGUUGCUUUAUUUAGGCCAGUUAACAGUCUGGGAAACAAAAAGGGAUUUCCCCAACAUGCUGCAUUUAUUUUUGUGAUCCUGUGUGUGUGUGUGUGUUUGUGUGUGUGUGCUCUGUGCAUAAAAUGAGACUUUUCACUUCUCUGAAAUCUGAGCUUCUCAUGAGAUACUCCCUGAAAUGUAACGUCAGUGUCUGGAUAAUGUCAGCUACACCGCAUCCUCAGAGCUUUUUAAUUAAAAGGGGAUUUCAGCAAAAAACAAAAACUUUUAUCAGCGUCAAACCUUCUAAUUUGUCUGUAAACUGGCAGCUGAAGCCUGAAGUCAAUCUGGGAGCCAAAAAUAAGUGAUACAAAUUGGUUUUUCUUCUUGAAUGAUCCGUUCAGUAACUGAGAAGUUCAAUCCUCAGUCAAUCACUGACUGCUGCUGCAAACUUAUAUGACGACCACAGAUCAGACAACCAGACUUCCGUGGAGUGCUUGAAAACUUCCUUUCCCCAAAAAAGUUCUCUCCAAGAAGACACCGUUUGAUAACCAUCUUUCCUUUCAAGAACGUCGGACAAAGGUCUGCAUGUGAACAGCAGCUCGAAAAUUAUAAAAGCACAAAAAUUAUAAAAGCAGGAACAGUAUGAAAAAUCAAUGUUAUGAAUUAUAGUAAAACAUAAAUAACAAAGAUCUGACAAAACAUGAAAUGUACUUCAUAAUCUCUUCUAGAAAAGUCUCAGUUUUUGUUUUACGGUUACAUUUAAAAAUGUUCCACAUCAAUUAAAAAAAUACCCAAAGUUUAUCUUAAAUCAUGAAGGCGACGUUUCCUGAACAGAGAAAGUUUUACGUAGUUGACAAAAGUUUUGUUGUCAGAACAAUCAGGUAAAAAAAAAAAACAUAUUUUUUGUACAACAACUUAGUAAUAAGUGCAAAAGGAGAAAAUAUCUGAAAGAAAGUCUCCCAAUUUUAUAUGUUUUAUUAACCGAAUUAUCUUAAAAAUAUGAUUUAUGAUGCAGACAGGCACAUUUAUUACUGUACAUUAUGUUCAUAUUAUCAGAUCAGAUCUGAGUUUGGAGUUCAGGACUUUUUGGAGCGAUGUCGCCUCCUAGAGGCUCCUGAUGAGACCUGCAGCCCUCACUGUCUUGUCCUGAAAUGUGAAUGUAUUGAAAACAGCUGCCUGUUUCUGUCCAAAGGCAACAUAUCCACCUACAAGCACCCCAAGAGCCCCUUUAUCCUCAUCUCUAGGAAAGAAGGCAAAUGAGAAUAUUCUCCAAAUUUCAAACUUUUCUUUUAAAGCAGAAAACAACUGAUGGUAGACACAGUAGAUCUGUGGCAAGAGGGGAUUGUGCAACACCUGAGGGAAGGUCUGCCUUUGGACACUCGGCUUUUUCAGUGAGAGCAGUGCACACAUGGAUCAGUCUAUGAACACUUGUCAGAGACUGUUACACGUUCAUUUAAAAAUAACCUAAAAUCAUGGCUGUAAGACAAUCAAGAGUGUGACUAUAACUCAUUUAAAUUUUAAAUGCGCUUUGUUUUUUAAGGUAGUUGUCAUGACACCUGCCCAGGAACUACAGCUGAAAAUUAUCCAAGCUGGCUUAACUGGAAGAUUUUCAGAAAUGUUUAUUACUAUGCACUGUCCCUGUAAUCUGUAAAUAAAUAAAUAAACAAAUACAAUUAAGUGGUGAAAUCUUCAGUAAGAAAUGAAACAGGAAGUAAGGAAAUAUGGUUUGUCAGGUCAAGAUUCUUACUUUCAUAGUAAGACUUGUUUAAUAUUAUAAAUACAAAACAAUGUGCAACAAUCAGACAUCAUAAGUUUGAUAAAAACAAUAAAUGAAAUAGAAUAAAUAAAUUAACAAAAAACAAUAAAACAUUAUUAAAUUGUUUUGAAUAGUAUCAUAUAAAUAAUAAUAAUAAUAAUAAUAAUAAUAAUAAUAAUAAUAAUAAUAUAAAACUUUAUGCAAAUCACC